Molecule: ribosomal RNA, 1072 nt
Filed under: Gracilaria dura
Lineage: Eukaryota; Rhodophyta; Florideophyceae; Gracilariales; Gracilariaceae
Description: SSU rRNA
Rfam family: Eukaryotic small subunit ribosomal RNA
Source: RNAcentral
GGGCUGUCUCGGAUAGCCAUGCCAAGUGUAGUAUGAGUGAGUUAUACAACGAAACUGCGAAUGGCUCGGUAAAACAGCUAUAGUUUCUUCGGUGGUAAAUACUACUUGGAUACCCGUAGUAAUUCUAGAGCUAAUACAUGCCAUAAAAGCGGCGCUUGCGCCGUGGUAUAAAUUGGAGAUACAAGCCAAUGUUUGGUGAUUCACAAUUUCUUUCUGAUUGCACAUAAGUGCGACGCACCGUUCAAAUUUCUGACCUAUCAACUUUGGAUGGUAAGGUAUUGUCUUACCAUGGUUGUGACGGGUAACGGACCGUGGGUGCGGGACUCCGGAGAGGGAGCCUGAGAAACGGCUACCACAUCCAAGGAAGGCAGCAGGCGCGCAAAUUACCCAAUCCGGACACCGGGAGGUAGUGACAAGAAAUAGCAAUAGAGGGCCCAACGGGUUUUCUAAUUGGAAUGAGAACAAGGUAAACAGCUUAUCGAGGAGCCAGCAGAGGGCAAGUCUGGUGCCAGCAGCCGCGGUAAUUCCAGCUCUGUAAGCGUAUACCAAAGUUGUUGCAGUUAAAACGCUCGUAGUCGGAGUUUGGCGGGCGGGCUGGGGCGUCUUUACGGACGGAUCUGGGGCCGGCCGCCUUUGUGGAGGGGGGCCCGGCGUCGCUUCACUGCGACGGCGUGGUCGCUGCCACCGUUUACUGUGAGAAAAUUAGAGUGUUCAAAGCGGGCGUUUGCCAUGAAUACAUUAGCAUGGAAUAAUAGAAUAGGACCUGUUUCCUAUUUUGUUGGUUUGUGAGGAACGGGUAAUGAUUAAGAGGGACGGUUGGGGGCAUUUGUAUUCCGGCGUCAGAGGUGAAAUUCUUGGAUUGUCGGAAGACAAACGGCUGCGAAAGCGUCUGCCAAGGACGUUUUCAUUGAUCAAGAACGAAAGUAAGGGGAUCGAAGACGAUCAGAUACCGUCGUAGUCUUUACUAUAAACGAUGAGGACUGGGGGAUCGGGCAGGACUUGAAAUUUGGCCUGCCCGGCACCCUUCGGGAAACCAAAGUGUUUGUUUUUUGGGGGGAAUAUGGUUCCAAGG